Oncorhynchus tshawytscha (Chinook salmon) is the source of this 835-nucleotide long non-coding RNA. Lineage: Eukaryota; Metazoa; Chordata; Actinopteri; Salmoniformes; Salmonidae. The record is from Ensembl.
CCCCAGCAACAAGCUAACAACCCCGGGCAACAAGCUAACAACCCCAGACAACAAGCUAACUUAGCGGUGGUGGUUUAGAAAGAGGUUGCUAGGUUGCUACACCCCAUUGAUCCAGAUGUUCCCCACCAUAGUACAACAACUCCCCACACCAACUACCAAAACUAUCACCCCACUGGCCGUUAUGACCCCGUGGAAAUUACAACAACGAUGAUGAAGACGAUGAGGAAGAUGAGGAGGAAGAGGACCCAUUCGCUGGGUAUAGAGGCUACCCAUCUCAGUACUACCAGCCCAAUUACCCUCACCCCCUGCACCCCAAUCCCACUCCCAGGACACUGAGCUAAGGUCCCCAGGGAUAAUGAUGAGCCGUUUCUCCAGAGACGUGGUCACACAGAGAAGAGCCACCGCUAAUACAGCCCAGACAGGACAGACAGACCAGACUGGACAGAGGAGCGAAGCUGCAGCAGAUACUGAAGUGGAGGUGAUUGGAGAAGUCCAGACAGGACAGACUGGACAGAGAGACCAGAUUGGACAGAGGAGCAAUGUUGCAGUAGAUACUGAAGGAGAGGUGGAGGUGAUUGGAGAAGUCCAGACAGGACAGACUGGACAGAGAGACCAGAUUGGACAGAGGAGCUAUGUUGCAGUAGAUACUGAAGGAGAGGUGGAGGUGAUUGGAGAAGUCCAGACUGGACAGAGGAGCGAUACUGGACAGAGGAGCGAUGUUGCAGUAGAUACUGAAGGAGAGGUGGAGGUGAUUGGAGAAGUCCAGACUGGACAGACAGUCCAACCACCUCUCUAUGUCCCUGUGGGUUGAUGAAGAUGUCAAAAAUAUGUUCGG